RNAcentral lists this long non-coding RNA (1066 nucleotides) under Anolis carolinensis (green anole). RNAcentral's name for it is "lncRNA (ENSACAG00000035454.1)". Lineage: Eukaryota; Metazoa; Chordata; Lepidosauria; Squamata; Anolidae. The record is from RNAcentral.
AUGAAUUGCCUCUGGCACCUGGCAACUGAAAUUUCACUAUCUGGAAACGUCCCCUUAUGUCAAACAAUGUGGCAAAUCUCAGAGUAUGAAUUACAAAUGCUGAGUCUUUUUCUUCUUUUUUUAAAGUGCAAGACAGGAGGAGGAGAUCUUCAUGGUGGGAAGAAAAACAGUUGACAAUUGGUUGGUUUAAAGGUCCAGUCCACUGCAGAGAGACCCACAUGGAGGGCAUUAAACCGAAGAUGGCGUUGAUAUGCAGAUGAUUCCUGGACUGAUUUAAGUAUCCAGUUUCAAGAAGACAAAGGUGCAAGACCUGGAAAACAAAAGGUGGAAAACGAAAUGUCCUCCCUGAGCUUCCAGCAGCUUCAGUAUAGCAGAACUUUGAAAGAGUGGAAAAAAUUUAAAAAGUAAAGGAAAAAAUCAUAUGUCUUGCUUGAAGUCUUGUUGAUGUCCAAAAAUAAUUAGGAAGGGGGGUGCCGUGGCUACAACAGCAAAGAUGCCAAUACCUAUGGAAAGUAAGAGAGUAAAAAAGAAAUAAAAAUGCUCCAUUGGUAUUAGAGGCCAUGCAUUGCAGUGGGAUUAGUAGUGGGAUUAGUAGUGGAACUGCAAAUCUUAAGGCAUAUCACAAGAAACCAAAAUACCUAGUAUUCAAAAUUUUAAUUGCUUGAAAAACAGGUAAAAAGGGAUGGAACUGGUCUAAUAGCAUUCUGUCAUAAUACACUUCUCCAACGUUUAAAUACAGAGGAAGCAAACUUUCAUGCCUCCCUGAAGAAUGUACCAAUGGCAAUAUUAGCAACAUUUACAGUUCAGAUAAUACCUUUACUUUCUUUCUCUCCCCUUAAAAAUGCCUUUAGACCUUAACUUAAUAAACUGGUUUACCUUCCAAGGAUGGAACUGUAACCUGCUUGGCCAGUGUGGGGACAUAAAUUACCUUUGCACUUGGUAAUAGAGUCAGCAUCAUGACAGGAACUCAGAGAUCACUCAGUCUGCAAUGGGUAAUAAGAAAGAGGGAAAUCAGAAGGGGGGGGGGGGGGAGCAUGAGCUCAUGCUCCAGCUAUUCACAAUCAAG